UCUUUUAAAUCUUAAAUUGUAGUUUAUUUGAAUUAUUGUAACUUCAAACAGAGUUAUCACAGCACCUUUCUGAUUCUUGAUUCCUGUGCAUUUGCUGCAGAGCUUUUGUGGUGGAGCAGGACCUGCAAGGAAAGGAUCUGAAAUGUCCUCAGACUGGUGUGAGUAGUGAGGAUGGAGAAGUCCACAGCAGCAUCCUGGAAAUGGUCCAGUGCCAUGGAUGAGACGCUCCAUCACUCCACCUGCCCUUACUGCCUCAUCAGGACCAGAUGUUGCUGUGGUCUCUUCAUCCUCAGUGACCCCAGAGCCAGUGAGAACAUCUAGAGAAAGACCAAACGACAUUGAGGAU
Molecule: long non-coding RNA, 346 nt
Organism: Sinocyclocheilus anshuiensis
Lineage: Eukaryota; Metazoa; Chordata; Actinopteri; Cypriniformes; Cyprinidae
Exons: 2
Source: RefSeq, a predicted model, not a curated record